This 615-nucleotide ribosomal RNA is filed under the name uncultured bacterium. RNAcentral describes it as "bacterial SSU rRNA". The stretch from base 1 to 541 matches the Rfam family "Bacterial small subunit ribosomal RNA", at positions 338 to 873 of the family's 1533-position model. The record is from RNAcentral.
CCUACGGGAGGCAGCAGUGGGGAAUUUUGGACAAUGGGCGCAAGCCUGAUCCAGCCAUGCCGCGUGUGGGAAGAAGGCCUUCGGGUUGUAAACCACUUUUGUCAGGGAAGAAACGGCUCUUACUAAUAUUAGGGGCUAAUGACGGUACCUGAAGAAUAAGCACCGGCUAACUACGUGCCAGCAGCCGCGGUAAUACGCAGGGUGCAAGCGUUAAUCGGAAUUACUGGGCGUAAAGCGUGCGCAGGCGGCUUUGCAAGACAGAUGUGAAAUCCCCGGGCUCAACCUGGGAACUGCAUUUGUGACUGCAUGGCUAGAGUACGGUAGAGGGGGAUGGAAUUCCGCGUGUAGCAGUGAAAUGCGUAGAUAUGCGGAGGAACACCGAUGGCGAAGGCAAUCCCCUGGACCUGUACUGACGCUCAUGCACGAAAGCGUGGGGAGCAAACAGGAUUAGAUACCCUGGUAGUCCACGCCCUAAACGAUGUCAACUGGUUGUUGGACGGCUUGCUGUUCAGUACGAAGCUAACGCGUGAAGUUGACCGCCUGGGGNGACGGCGCGAGUAGACGUACGAGAGAGUAGAGCGUGAGACGNGCGACGGACGACGACGAGGGAGGAGG